CUACGGACUUAAAUUUUUUGAGCCUUGGUAUAGAGAGGGUU
Molecule: transfer RNA, 41 nt
Filed under: Juniperus sabina
Lineage: Eukaryota; Viridiplantae; Streptophyta; Pinopsida; Cupressales; Cupressaceae
Description: partial tRNA-Leu
Source: RNAcentral